Molecule: long non-coding RNA, 418 nt
Filed under: Vigna radiata
Lineage: Eukaryota; Viridiplantae; Streptophyta; Magnoliopsida; Fabales; Fabaceae
Description: long non-coding RNA (VRAD_LNC009791)
Source: RNAcentral
GAUUGACAGAUAAAGAUAUGGAUGAAUGGAGUUGUGUUAAGUCCCUGGCAAGUGUACCAGAUCGUUAUCAAGUAAUAUAAAUGGGUAAGUCCAAGUAUCGUUUCCCAAAGGACUCUUAGGCCUUACUUUUCAUGUAAACCAAUCGCAAAAACAAAAGUAAACAUGCAAAUGCAGUGAUUCAAUUAGCAAGGAAAAACUAUGAAUGAAUGGUGUUGUUGGGGUUUACAAUUUCAUCUUAUCCACCCUCAUAUAUCUACUCUUCUUAUUUAAUUAGCUUAUUUAUCAUAUUGUCAUGCAAACUUUCUUAGUCUACCCUUAANCNAAUCCCUUGGUGAAAAGAGCCUAUUACUAAUUACUGGCUUGCUAUCCCUAGCCUCCCCUAGUAAUUAAUAAUGCAUGAUAAGCGGAAGCAAAAUAC